AGAGAAAGAAAGCGGGACUAAGUGAGAGUGGUUGUUUGAAGAAAAGAAAAAGUUAAAAGCGGACAUUUAUCAAAGUGUUCGAUAAGGACUGUUUACAGUUCAGUUGUGAUAGUGUGUCGUUUGAGUGGACUACUCAAAUCACGCCACUAAAUUGGAGUUAGCUGCUAAUGAUGAGGCUAAGUGGAUGCAUGGAACUUUGCUUGCAUGCUAGCGACAAGCUAACGCCAGCUAGCGAGGCCUGUGUUGGGCCACGAGGAAGAAGACGAGGACGCUAGCGACGAGCAAACGCUGGCGAGGCCUCCAUUGGCGCACAAGGGAAACGCUUCGCAACGGAUCGGACCCUCAGGACUUGGAUGAGGCCGGACCAUUGGACAGAACCCUCAAUGUUCGUCACUAUUGCCGUUUGAAACACUUCAGCGACAUUAGGAGACAAAUGGCUUUGCCAUUCAAGAGCCGCGGCGGAGCGGGGCCGGCCUCUUCCGCCGUAAAUGUGAGCGCUUGCGGUUCCCGGCCGCGGUCGGAAGCCCGGCCGGCGUCUGUGAAAUUCCAUCGCGGAGAAAUUCUACACGCGGGCCUCGACCUGAGCGUACCGAAAGAGGCUCUGGUGCGGAAACGCAAGCGGGAACGCGCCUAAAUCUUUGCGCUCUGCCGUGAAAUGGAUAACGCAAAGAAGCUGGGAGAAGAGCAAACACUACAAGUAUGCAGUGUGUGCUGGGUUUAGUUGCAGUGCUGGUGUCAGCGGUUACCAAGGGCAAAACAUACAAUUUGUACAUAUUCAACAUAUUCGAUCCCUUUACCACAUUGACUCUAUCAGAACACAAUAAUCAUUGUUGACGCAAAAUAAAAAGACAAACAGUAUUGUCUGAAUUUUGCAGAUUAAAGCAAGGCUGUUAAAUGUCGCGCAGAACGAUGUCUUUGCCCCAAUGGACCUUUCCGACCGGCUAUCUUCAGCUCCGCCCCCCUUAGCAACAGUUGCCAUCUCCCAUAAUCUUUCAAAAUGGCGACCGAACAUAACAGGUUUGAAGUGGAUCCUCCAUCGCGUAUUACCGGUAACAUUCCGGUAUGUUUUUUUUUUUGCCAAAUGUGCCAGACUUGUCCAAGAGGGUUCUACGGAGAGGUCGCAACUAUUUCACGCAAGGAUAUGUACACGGAAUUAAGAUUUUGAACGGAGCGGGGCGCAAUGUCAGAGUUACAGCGAAACGUCGGCGAUCGACAAACCUCACAAACUUCAUAUUGAAAUAGUGGAAUCGUACAGCGCAUGUAAAGCAGGGUGAGUACUUUUUAAUUAUCAAAAAAUCACGAGCAAUAUCUUUGUAGUCUUUAUGAAUAAUUGGGUGUAUUCAUUUGACUUGGUUCGUAAUCGAACCCGGUGCCCAGUUCACAUGUGACGCCAACAUUCAGAACAACAAUGGUGGAUCACGUUCGCAGCCUUUUAGCGUGACAUUGCUUAAAGAUCAACAUGCCUCCCAUCUCAUGUUAACGCUCGCUACAUCGACAUUUCAUGUCUUCGUUAUUGCAUGUGUUAGGGAACAAAUAUUUUUUAUCCAUGAUUUAUCCAUCCAUCCUGAAAAUAAUCGGAUGAUUAUUAUCCGGUUAUCAGAUUUUCUUUUUUCUUGUUUUAAAUCCAUAUCAGUCAGGCCCUGGUCAACAUCACAUAUUGUUACCUACUACUAAUUCUAUCCAUCCAUCAUGAGAAACUAGAGACUUUGCCAACUGACGUUGGUGAGUAAAAGUUGGCGUACUCUGCGGCCUAUAAACCGCGACUCCCCCCCCCCCCCCCCCCCGCUUUCAACCCUGCGAUUUACACGGUGAUGUGGCUAAUUUGUGCUUUUUUUUCCAAACGGCCGCAAGGGGGCACUCGAGGGGAAAAGGUAAGAGUGAGACCGGUGGAAUAUAUGUGCCGACGAAGUGACUUUUAACGGCCCUGUUAGCGCUGCGUUCACGCUGUGCUAACGUGUUGCUGCUGUGUCUCAGUGAUAUUUACCAGUAGGUUUUAAUCGGCCCUGUUAGCGUUAGCACAGUGCUAGCACUAGUGCCAUGCUAGCGCCACACUAGCGUUAAACUCUUUGUGUACCGUCUUUAUUCGCAAAUAUCUCGUGUUUCAAUAUUGGUUUCAAUGUGGGCGCUUGCGGCUUUUACACAGCUACGGCGUGUUUAUGUACCCAAUGGUAUUUCCUUUACAAAUGUACCGGGUAAGGCUUAUAACCAGGUGUGCUCUGUAGGCCGGGAAUUACGGUAAUUAGUUAAUUUGUGGAUUGAUGUGUUUUCAGCAGCAACAACACAAAAUUCCAGAAGAUCAUGGCCUAGAAAGCAGUGAUGCGGUUGAUUUGUACAUUUUUUGUAACGGCCGCAAGGAGGUACUUGAGCGGAAAAGCAACAACAAGAAGAAAUUCCAGCGGAUCAUGACCGAGAAAGCAGUGAUGCGGCUAAUUUGUGCAUUUUUUUCUAAUGGUCGCAAGGGGGCACUCGAGCGGAAAAGGUAAGAGUGAGACCGGUGGAUGAAGUGACUUUUACUGGUUCGGGCCUGUUAGCUCUGCGCUAGCGUGUCACUGCCGUGUCUCGGUGAUUUUUACCGGUAUGUGUUUUUUUUUUUUUCCGACCGGCCCUGCUAACGCGGCGCUAGUGUUAGCCUGGCGCUAGCGUUAGCAUUAGCAUGGCAGCCCUUGCAUUAAGCUCUCUGUGUCCUGUCUUUCUUUGUAAAUAUCUCGUAUUUCAGUAUGGGCACUUGCGACUUUUACACAGCUGCAGCGUAUGUAUGUACCAAAUGGUAUUUCCUUUACAAAUGUACCGGGUGAGGAUUAUAACCAGGCCGGGAAUAACGGCACUUUGGUAACCAGCAAAUUGUUUGACACAUGCCGACAAACAACCAUUCAGUGGGACACCCGUGGUUCAAUUGAUCGAGCGGGUCGUCCGGUGACUUGACGGCUCCCCGGUUUGAAUCCCACUCAUUUUCUGGGCAAGUCCUUGUUUGCUGCCAUGGCGGCAGCUCCAAAUUAAUUGUGAAUGUCAGGUAAAGUUUGUCAGACACUGUGACGGUGCCCAUAAACUACUCCAUACGUCCUUUUACCAUUUACACUCACAUCAAUCGGCAAUUCUGAAUCUUCAAUGAACUUAGCACGCAUUAUGUGGGAGGAAGCCGCAGUAUAACGACGAUAAUUCCACGCAGGAGGGGCCGAACGGAGAUCAGAAGACCCUCGACGCUCUCGACCGCGCAAACCCCUUUGUUGUUGUUCUGCUCUUUUUGCUCGGUGAAUCCGCAUCUCAUUUAUUAUGCACGGUUAUUUUCCACGAUUGAACCAUUGAAUAUUCGCGAUCCUGAACUUGCUGAAACUUUAGCAGCUGCGUGUUCACUGCAUUUUCUCUCCAUAAGCGCCAUGAAGGGGGAAAAAAAACCUUAAAGGCCAACUGUCUCCUGGAAUAUUGUGUCCCCCACAAUUUCACCCCGGUGGCGACCCCCUCCAUUGUCCUCGCUACUUCAUCAACACAAUCCCUCGCAGGUCUCAAGUGGAGCUUACAAGGGAUCCAACGCUUAUCCCAUAUUGCUGUCUUUCUAUAUUUGUCGGGAUGUCUCCUCGGGGCUCUGCCUAAUACUCCCCGCGUCGUUUUUUUGUGUUGAUGUGCCUUCUUUGCAUCGCUCCGUCUCCGGCUGUGACCGGCCAUGCAUCAUAACGCUAAAUAAAGUCGCAGCACCUCAAUACCUAGAGGUGACCCCGAGGAAGCAAGUCGCAGAAUAAAUGUGUGCGUGUCUGUAUGAUGGGAAAGAAUCUAGUGAAGGUCGUAAAGCCCAAGUGCCGCAGGAGUAUUUUUUGACCUGUAGGUGGCACUGGAGAUCAGUCUUCAGGGAUUGCUCAGGACGGAUACAGAUAUUCAUUUAACAAUAUACAGUUAAGCCUUAAAAUGAUUCAUACCGUGGCCAUAUUUUAUUAUUAGUGUUUCUAUUGUCUUUUAAAGAAAAACAACAUGAAGCUCAAGACAUGCUUUUGUUUUGUGAAUUUCAUUUUUGACGCCCAUUUCUCAAUACGUGCCUAUCCAAUUAAUAGUUGAUUGAAAUGAUAGAUGACGAUUUUCUACACCGCCUAUCCUCACUGAGGUCGGAGAGGACGGAGACGCGGUACACCCUGAACUAUUCGCAGCCAAUCGCGGGGAACAUGUAAACAAAUUUAUUCAGGGUUGUGAAAAAUGUUUUCACUAAUUCAGUAACAGGCGGCACAGUGGAUGAGCUGGUAAAGCGUCGGCCUCACAGUUCUGAGGACCCGGGUUCGAUGCCGGCCCCGCCUGUGUGGCGUUUGCAUGUUCUCCCCAUGCCUGCGUGGGUUUUCCUCCCACAUCCCAAAAAUACGCAACAUUAAUUGGACACUCUAAAUUGCCCCAAGGUGUGACUGAGAGUGCGGCUGUCUGUCUCUAUGUGCCCUGCGAUUGGUUGGCGACCAGUUCAGGGUGUACCCCGCCUCCUGCCCGUUGACAGCUGGGAUAGGCUCCUCGUGAGGAUGAGCGGCAAAGAAAAUGGAUGGAUGGAUGAAAUGAUCGAGCCUUUCUGACUUUUAGGCCUCACUCCAACAUCCCGACAGAAUCAGCACACCUCCACGUUUUCAUUAAUAUUUCUAACUACUUCUUCCAGGUGAUCCCCAUUCAGCUAAUUAAAAUAAAUGUGAAUAAACGGAGCUUAUUGCAAAUUUAAAAAUAAUUGUUCACCGAUGAGGUUUAAACACAGACCAAAUCCUCAU
This is a long non-coding RNA of Syngnathoides biaculeatus (alligator pipefish), 4724 nucleotides long. RefSeq lists it as uncharacterized. The transcript is spliced from 3 exons. The record is from RefSeq and is a predicted model, not a curated record. Lineage: Eukaryota; Metazoa; Chordata; Actinopteri; Syngnathiformes; Syngnathidae.